RNAcentral lists this ribosomal RNA (757 nucleotides) under Halodiatrype avicenniae. RNAcentral describes it as "SSU rRNA". It matches the Rfam family "Eukaryotic small subunit ribosomal RNA", at positions 56 to 824 of the family's 1831-position model. The record is from RNAcentral. Lineage: Eukaryota; Fungi; Ascomycota; Sordariomycetes; Xylariales; Diatrypaceae.
UGUCUAAGUAUAAGCAAUUAUACGGCGAAACUGCGAAUGGCUCAUUAAAUCAGUUAUCGUUUAUUUGAUAGUACCUGAUUACUUGGAUAACCGUGGUAAUUCUAGAGCUAAUACAUGCUAAAAAUCUCGACUUGCGGAGGGGUGUCUUUGUUAGAUUAAAAACUAAUGCCCUCCGGGGCUUGUGGGUGAUUCAUAAUAACUUUUCGAAUCGCAUGGCCUUGUGCCGGCGAUGGUCCAUUCAAAUUUCUGCCCUAUCAACUUUCGAUGGCAGGGUCUUGGCCUGCCAUGGUCACAACGGGUAACGGAGGGUUAGGGCUCGAUCCCGGAGAAGGAGCCUGAGAAACGGCUACUACAUCCAAGGAAGGCAGCAGGCGCGCAAAUUACCCAAUCCCGAUCCGGGGAGGUAGUGACAAUAAAUACUGAUACAGGGCUCUUUCGGGUCUUGUAAUUGGAAUGAGUACAAUUUAAAUCCCUUAACGAGGAACAAUUGGAGGGCAAGUCUGGUGCCAGCAGCCGCGGUAAUUCCAGCUCCAAUAGCGUAUAUUAAAGUUGUUGCAGUUAAAAAGCUCGUAGUUGAACCUUGGGCCUGGCUGGCCGGUCCGCCUCACCGCGUGCACUGGUCCGGCCGGGCCUUUCCCUCUGGGGAUCCCCAUGUCCUUUGCUGGAUGUGGCGGGGAACCAGGACGUUUACUGUGAAAAAAUUAGAGUGUUCAAAGCAGGCCUAUGCUCGGAUACAUUAGCAUGGAAUAAUAGAAUA